This is a non-coding RNA of Saitozyma sp. JCM 24511, 106 nucleotides long. NCBI's taxonomy places the organism in Eukaryota, Fungi, Basidiomycota, Tremellomycetes, Tremellales, Trimorphomycetaceae. The record is from the annotation of a GenBank genome assembly.
GCCCGCUUGGCCCAGCGGUACGGCGUGACCUUCCUACGAUGAGUUUACGCUUAAGCUGCUCCUUGAAUUAAGGUUAAGAUCGCGGGUUCGAUCCCCGCAGUGGGUU